RNAcentral lists this ribosomal RNA (323 nucleotides) under Salmonella enterica subsp. enterica serovar Infantis. RNAcentral describes it as "partial 23S ribosomal RNA". It matches the Rfam family "Bacterial large subunit ribosomal RNA", at positions 869 to 1190 of the family's 2925-position model. Lineage: Bacteria; Pseudomonadati; Pseudomonadota; Gammaproteobacteria; Enterobacterales; Enterobacteriaceae. RNAcentral also lists the same sequence under 8 other names. The record is from RNAcentral.
UUUAGGUAGCGCCUCGUGAAUUCAUCUCCGGGGGUAGAGCACUGUUUCGGCUAGGGGGCCAUCCCGGCUUACCAACCCGAUGCAAACUGCGAAUACCGGAGAAUGUUAUCACGGGAGACACACGGCGGGUGCUAACGUCCGUCGUGAAGAGGGAAACAACCCAGACCGCCAGCUAAGGUCCCAAAGUCAUGGUUAAGUGGGAAACGAUGUGGGAAGGCCCAGACAGCCAGGAUGUUGGCUUAGAAGCAGCCAUCAUUUAAAGAAAGCGUAAUAGCUCACUGGUCGAGUCGGCCUGCGCGGAAGAUGUAACGGGGCUAAACCAU